RNAcentral lists this long non-coding RNA (446 nucleotides) under Olea europaea subsp. europaea. The record is from RNAcentral. Lineage: Eukaryota; Viridiplantae; Streptophyta; Magnoliopsida; Lamiales; Oleaceae.
UUGUCUUCUUCAAUUUCCUCGGGUCACCAACCGUUAACGCACCACUAACGCCGUUUCUGACAUAAACCUUUUCAACUCGACCGCCGGAGAGAGUCGCGGCAGUGGUUAUUGGGCACCAUUCGACAUAUAUAGCCGGAGUCGCACGUGGCAUUCUCGUAUCAUAAGCACCCAAAACGAUGCCGUCCCUCUUUCCGUUCCCCUCUGCAGUCAAAACCACAGUCGGAGAUGCCAUCGUCAGUGCUGGGAUAUUCCAACUUCAGCCAAAAUUAUUUUUAUUUUUCUCUUCAUUAUCAAUAUUCCAUAUAGAAACUACGCUUUUAGAGUUAUUAUUAUCAUUAUCUGCGACAAAAUUCAAGCCUAAAUCUAAACUAUCCUAAAGCUUUACAACAUUUUUGCUGGAAGUAAAUUCCGACCACGCAAAUCGUUCACCGCCGUUGCUCCACCGC